ACAAGUGUAUUGCCAACUCCUAUUUCUGCUGAAAUCCUAAUAAUUCUGCAGUCGAAACAUGUAGUCCAUUUUUCGGAUCUUUCUUUAAUAACUUUUGAGGGAAAAAGAAAUUAAGAUAAGUGGGCAUGUGAUUACAAAGAGAGAGGAUUGAGUGGGGUUUUCUCUUGUUGAAGCUUGGAGAGAAGAUUGAAGACUGAGUUUAAUACAUCAAGAUUCGAAGCAAAUCGAAAAUUGCUGUCCUCUUCUGUUGCAAGUGCUGGCUUAUGGCAGCUUAAGAAUUUGCCCUAAAUCAAUUUCAUAUUUUUUAUAUUCUCUUUUCUUUUUUUUCAAUCAGAGUCUUUUCCACUAUGACUACCCUUUUUUUUUCUUUUUUUUUUUUUUAAUUUACACUUAAUAUGCGCUCCCCUCUUGUGUUUACGAAAUAUGUUCAUAUGAAUCUAUAUGGUUAGGAGUUUGGAGUUGUUUUUGCAUUUGUUGGUGUAAUAUGGGUGAGUUGAUUUUGGAC
RNAcentral lists this long non-coding RNA (505 nucleotides) under Olea europaea (common olive). RNAcentral's name for it is "long non-coding RNA (OEUR_LNC015315)". Lineage: Eukaryota; Viridiplantae; Streptophyta; Magnoliopsida; Lamiales; Oleaceae. The record is from RNAcentral.